GCAUGUAGUUAGCUCUCUUCAGACAGUGUGUCACUCCUCCGACCCCACAACACAACCACUAAACCGCCUCACACGCUCUCAUUAAGCCGAACCUGGACUCAUAAUAUACCGUGGGCCUCCCAUUCUGGCCCACCGAACAGGGUGGGGGCCCAUAAGACACCGCCCCUUCCCGCUUGUCACGUGGCUAAGUCCAGGGCCUCCACGUUGGGCCGGUCUGUCGUGGCCGACAUGCAGCGACUUCACCCCGGAGAACGGGGACACGACCGCCCUGUCAUGGAUCCAGAGCCAAGCC
This 292-nucleotide long non-coding RNA is filed under the name Elaeis guineensis (African oil palm). RNAcentral describes it as "long non-coding RNA (EGUI_LNC016731)". Lineage: Eukaryota; Viridiplantae; Streptophyta; Magnoliopsida; Arecales; Arecaceae. The record is from RNAcentral.